This 252-nucleotide ribosomal RNA is filed under the name uncultured bacterium. Its description in RNAcentral is "partial 16S ribosomal RNA". It matches the Rfam family "Bacterial small subunit ribosomal RNA", at positions 525 to 776 of the family's 1533-position model. The record is from RNAcentral.
ACGGAGGGUGCGAGCGUUAAUCGGAAUUACUGGGCGUAAAGCGCGCGUAGGCGGUUUGUUAAGUCGGAUGUGAAAGCCCCGGGCUCAACCUGGGAAUUGCAUUCGAUACUGGCCGACUAGAGUACGAGAGAGGGAGGUAGAAUUCCACGUGUAGCGGUGAAAUGCGUAGAUAUGUGGAGGAAUACCGGUGGCGAAGGCGGCCUCCUGGCUCGAUACUGACGCUGAGGUGCGAAAGCGUGGGUAGCAAACAGG